Molecule: non-coding RNA, 25 nt
Filed under: Rattus norvegicus (Norway rat)
Lineage: Eukaryota; Metazoa; Chordata; Mammalia; Rodentia; Muridae
Source: RNAcentral
UGUUUGCUUGUUAUGCUGUGUGUGG